RNAcentral lists this ribosomal RNA (502 nucleotides) under uncultured bacterium. Its description in RNAcentral is "partial 16S ribosomal RNA". It matches the Rfam family "Bacterial small subunit ribosomal RNA", at positions 28 to 523 of the family's 1533-position model. The record is from RNAcentral.
GAUGAACGCUAGCGGCAGGCCUAACACAUGCAAGUCGAGGGGCAGCACAGAAACAGCAAUGUUUUGGUGGCGACCGGCGGACGGGUGCGUAACGCGUAUGCAACCUACCUUUAACAGGGGGAUAACGGAGAGAAAUUUCCACUAAUACCCCAUAACAUCGAUCAAGGCAUCUUGAUUGGUUGAAAACUCCGGUGGUUAAAGAUGGGCAUGCGUUGUAUUAGGUAGUUGGUGAGGUAAUGGCUCACCAAGCCUACGAUACAUAGGGGGACUGAGCGGUUAGCCACCCGCACUGGUACUGAGACACGGACCAGACUCCUACGGGAGGCAGCAGUGAGGAAUAUUGGUCAAUGGGGGCAACCCUGAACCAGCCAUGCCGCGUGCAGGAAGACGGCUCUAUGAGUUGUAAACUGCUUUUAAACAGGGAUAAAGCACAGUAUGUAUACUGUGUUGAAGGUACUGUAAGAAUAAGGAUCGGCUAACUCCGUGCCAGCCGCCGCCGUAA